AAACAACCGUGACAACUGACCCAGAGAGAGACAAACAGAGCAAAAGAAAGACAAACAGAAAGCUUCUUCUUCUUUGUCAGUGAAGUUCCUUCCUGCUCCAAGCCUUGGCUAGGUCCUGAAGCAUCAGCGGGUGGAUUCUGAGCAUGGUCGUGUCAGUGGCCCAGAUGCAGAGACAGAGGAUAAGGGGGCGUGGGGUUCUGCCUCGGCGCCCCCUCCAGAGAACCCCCUGGCCCCUCUGGUCCUGGCAUUCGUGUGUCCAGAAGGGGUGCCCACCUGAACCGUCAGCACCGAGUUUGUAGUGAACAGGAGGAGAAGGAUUAAGGCUGCAGUGGAAGACAGAUCUGCACGUUCCAGUGACUGUUCUGAAGCUUCGUGGCCUCGAAAGGCGGCCUUGCUCUUCAAGCUUCUUCCCGCAUCCCGGCCAGCGCUCACUCCUGGCUUCACCUGGACUUGAGUCCCCUUCAUCCUGUGUGGCCCUCCAAGACCGUGCUCCUGCUCAGCACAACUUGUCCCUGAGACCCAGUAGAAGGUGUGCCCAGGGAGGCCCCUGCUGUUCUGGUGCAGCAGCCCUCUGCCCUGUGUGUGCGUCCUGGCAUAGCAGGUCUCAGCCGCUAGGAGACGAGUGAUCGCAAUCACCGCUGGCAGGGGUGCUGCUGUGUUCUCGUGGCUUUUUGCAAUUUGCCAUCUGUAGGAGAGAGAUUGAUUUUUAAAAAUAAACAGGCUUUGUGUAAAAUGUAUACAUAUGUAUGGUCCCAUUAA
RNAcentral lists this long non-coding RNA (759 nucleotides) under Capra hircus (goat). Its description in RNAcentral is "lncRNA (ENSCHIG00000001526.1)". Lineage: Eukaryota; Metazoa; Chordata; Mammalia; Artiodactyla; Bovidae. The record is from RNAcentral.